RNAcentral lists this unclassified non-coding RNA (663 nucleotides) under Hevea brasiliensis (rubber tree). The record is from RNAcentral. Lineage: Eukaryota; Viridiplantae; Streptophyta; Magnoliopsida; Malpighiales; Euphorbiaceae.
UAUAGUAGACCCAUGAUGGGAAAAGAUAAUAUACCCAAUUUGGGAAGUUCACUUCCUCCUCCAUUACCUGCUGAUCCAGGUUUUGCUCAAAGAGCUGCUAAAUUUUCUUGUUUUGGGAGUCGUAGUUUCAACGGCAGAACGAGUCCGUUGGGGUUGAACUAUACGGAAUUAUCACAUAGAUCUGCUCAAACAUUGGGGAACGGAAAGUUGCCUAGAGUUUCGAGUAGCCCUUCUCUCAAGCAAGGUGGAUCCCCUUUGCAACUCAAGAAUUCGGGUCAAACCCGGAUGGAAAUGAUGUCCAAUAACUCUAACGAGUCUGUUUCAGAGCCAAGUGGGGAAACAGCAUCGAAACUUCCAACUGAAUUGAAUUCUAGUUCUAGAAAAAGAAAAACAGUUUCAAGAGGGAAAACAAAGGAAGAUUCCCCAACUGAAGGAGUUAAUGGAAACAGGGGAAGUGAAGCUGAUGAUAAUGCAAGAGCAAAGCGAUGUAAGCAAGUAGAAAGUAAUGGGAUAGAAAAUGGAAGAGUACACAUGGAAGAAUCAAAGGAUGAUGAAACCCAAAAACAAGUUAUGGAAUAUCAAAAGCCUACUGAACCACCAAAGGACUAUAUUCAUGUUAGAGCAAGGAGAGGACAAGCUACUGAUAGCCAUAGUUUAGCAGAA